GUGUCAGCAGCCGCGGUAAUACAGAGGGUGCAAGCGUUAAUCGGAGUUACUGGGCAUAAAGGGCGCGUAGGCGGUUGAUUAAGUGAGAUGUGAAAGCCCUGGGCUUAACCUAGGAACUGCAUCUUAUACUGGUCAACUGGAGUACUGUAAAGGGUAGUGGAAUUUCCGGUGUAGCGGUGAAAUGCGUAGAGAUCGGAAGGAACACCAGUGGCGAAGGCGGCUACCUGGACAGAUACUGACGCUGAGGCGCGAGAGCGUGGGGAGCAAACAGGAUUAGAAACCCCAGUAGUCC
Molecule: ribosomal RNA, 292 nt
Filed under: uncultured Aquicella sp.
Lineage: Bacteria; Pseudomonadati; Pseudomonadota; Gammaproteobacteria; Legionellales; Coxiellaceae
Description: partial 16S ribosomal RNA
Rfam family: Bacterial small subunit ribosomal RNA
Source: RNAcentral